GGCUGUUUCCGGUGCAUCGCUCAGGCCACGCCGUGUCUCUGGCGUCGGGAGCGGCUUGGGCUGUUGCUGCGCGCUGCCAGCAUGGGCCGAAGUGCCCACUCUCUCGGUCACGGAGCCCGAGCUGACCCAGUGCGGAGCUUCAAUCGCUGGAAGAAGAAGCACAGCCACCGGCAGAGCCAGAAGAAGGAGUUAAGGAGGCAGCGGAAGAAGCCGGAGUGGCAGGUCGAGCGCGAGGUGAUCGGCCGGCUCACGCAGAGCUACGAGACGAAGCUGCUCUUGGUUGGGUGAUUUCUACCAGCAAUGUGAACUGGACUGCAACAUCUUGAUUCCACAAUCACCCCUGCUACUUUGGAGCAGAACUAUAUCGUUUGUGAGCUACAGCAGAAAAUAAUUGUGUUGUAUUCCUUCUUGAGAAGCCACUUGAAGAACAAGAGUAUUGUCUUUUUCUCUAGCUGCAAACAGAAUUGGUGAAUCUUGGGUCUUCCCAGUAAUUUCUGCCAUCUGUACAAUAAGACGGAUUCUCCAAGUAAGGAGAGAAUGAACCAUUGCAAACAAACUCCAGACGCAUGUGUCACCUUG
Jaculus jaculus (lesser Egyptian jerboa) is the source of this 579-nucleotide long non-coding RNA. RefSeq lists it as uncharacterized. NCBI's taxonomy places the organism in Eukaryota, Metazoa, Chordata, Mammalia, Rodentia, Dipodidae. The transcript is spliced from 4 exons. The record is from RefSeq and is a predicted model, not a curated record.